GAAUUUAGGUUAAACCGCUAAACCAGGGGCCUUCAAAGCCCCAAACAGGACUGACUCCUAAUUUCUG
RNAcentral lists this transfer RNA (67 nucleotides) under Gekko rhacophorus. Its description in RNAcentral is "tRNA-Trp". The record is from RNAcentral. Lineage: Eukaryota; Metazoa; Chordata; Lepidosauria; Squamata; Gekkonidae.